GACGAACGCUGGCGGCGUGCUUAACACAUGCAAGUCGAACGGAAAGGCCUGCUUUCCCUUGUGGAUUGCGGGUACUCGAGUGGCGAACGGGUGAGUAACACGUGAGUGAUCUGCCCCCAACUUGGGUAUAAGCCUGGGAAACUGGGUCUAAUUCCCGAUAGGACUGCAGGGUGGUGCCUGUGGUGGAAAACGAUUUUCUAGUGGUUGGGGAUGAGCUCGCGGCCUAUCAGCUUGUUGGUGGGGUAAUGGCCUACCAAGGCGGCGACGGGUAGCCAGCCUGAGGGGGUGGACGGCCACAUUGGGACUGAGAUACGGCCCAGACUCCGACGGGAGGCAGAAGUGGGGAAUAUUGCACAAUGGGCGGAAGCCUGAGGCAGCGACGCCGCGUGGGGGAUGACGGCCUUCGGGUUGUAAACUCCUUUCGGCCGCGAGGAAGCCACCUGGUUGGAAGGGUGGUGACGGUAGUGGUAGAAGAAGCACCGGCUAACUACGUG
RNAcentral lists this ribosomal RNA (494 nucleotides) under uncultured bacterium. RNAcentral describes it as "partial 16S ribosomal RNA". It matches the Rfam family "Bacterial small subunit ribosomal RNA", at positions 28 to 507 of the family's 1533-position model. The record is from RNAcentral.